RNAcentral lists this ribosomal RNA (462 nucleotides) under uncultured Pseudomonas sp. RNAcentral's name for it is "bacterial SSU rRNA". It matches the Rfam family "Bacterial small subunit ribosomal RNA", at positions 923 to 1382 of the family's 1533-position model. The record is from RNAcentral. Lineage: Bacteria; Pseudomonadati; Pseudomonadota; Gammaproteobacteria; Pseudomonadales; Pseudomonadaceae.
GCACAAGCGGUGGAGCAUUGUGGUUAAUUCGAAGCAACGCGAAGAACCUUACCAGGCCUUGACAUGCAGAGAACUUUCCAGAGAUGGAUUGGUGCCUUCGGGAACUCUGACACAGGUGCUGCAUGGCUGUCGUCAGCUCGUGUCGUGAGAUGUUGGGUUAAGUCCCGUAACGAGCGCAACCCUUGUCCUUAGUUACCAGCACGUUAUGGUGGGCACUCUAAGGAGACUGCCGGUGACAAACCGGAGGAAGGUGGGGAGUGACGUCAAGUCAUCAUGGCCCUUACGGCCUGGGCUACACACGUGCUACAAUGGUCGGUACAAAGGGUUGCCAAGCCGCGAGGUGGAGCUAAUCCCAAUAAAACCGAUCGUAGUCCGGAUCGCAGUCUGCAACUCGACUGCGUGAAGUCGGAAUCGCUAGUAAUCGUGAAUCAGAAUGUCACGGUGAAUACGUUCCCGGGCCUU